CCUACGGGUGGCAGCAGUGAGGAAUAUUGGUCAAUGGGCGAGAGCCUGAACCAGCCAAGUCGCGUGAGGGAGUACUGCCCUAUGGGUUGUAAACCUCUUUUGUCGGGGAGCAAAAGCCGGACGUGUCCGGCUGUGAGAGUACCCGAAGAAAAAGCAUCGGCUAACUCCGUGCCAGCAGCCGCGGUAAUACGGAGGAUGCGAGCGUUAUCCGGAUUUAUUGGGUUUUAAGGGGGCGCAGGCGGAUUUUUAAGUCAGCGGUAAAAUCGUGGGGCUCAACCCCAUCCCGCCGUUGAAACUGGGGAUCUAGAGUGUGCGAGAAGUAUGCGGAAUGCGUGGUGUAGCGGUGAAAUGCAUAGAUAUCACGCAGAACCCCGAUUGCGAAGGCAGCAUACCGGUGCACAACUGACGCUCAGGCACGAAAGCGUGGGUAUCGAACAGGAUUAGAUACCCCGGUAGUC
This 458-nucleotide ribosomal RNA is filed under the name uncultured bacterium. RNAcentral's name for it is "partial 16S ribosomal RNA". It matches the Rfam family "Bacterial small subunit ribosomal RNA", at positions 338 to 795 of the family's 1533-position model. The record is from RNAcentral.